Molecule: long non-coding RNA, 4089 nt
Filed under: Macaca fascicularis (crab-eating macaque)
Lineage: Eukaryota; Metazoa; Chordata; Mammalia; Primates; Cercopithecidae
Description: lncRNA (ENSMFAG00000052973.1)
Source: RNAcentral
UUUUUUUUUUUUUUUUUAACUUUCAGGAUGAUAGUUACUGGUAUCAUUUGAUAACUUUAAUGAUUUCCCAACCUUAACCUAGACAACAGAAUUUUUUAUUUAUUUUUAUUUUUUGAUGAAAACAAGAAAUACAGUAGUGACACUUUGUUUUUCCUUCAAGCACAUGGGAGAAGACAAAAGUACUAAUAAUCAUCAUUGAGUUUGACAGAGAAAUUCUACUAGUACUUACACUGCUUAGGAACAUAAAUGUCAAGUACAUUACUAGGGCAAGAAGUAUCAAGUAAGACAACAGAGUCAUAUUUUUCUUUUUGAGGUUAUUUUCACAAGACAUAGCAACAAUUUGUAAAAUAUUCAGACUACUGAAAGAUCACAUUCAAAUUAUAUUUCUAAGAAUAGAGCCAUAUAUGAACAGAGAGCAGAACAAGCUAAUACAUUAAUGAAUAUUCACUGAAGUCUUCAUACUGCACAGGACACAAAUUUGGUAUUUUUGCACAUGUUGUCAAUUAUAAGCAAAAAGCAGGCCUGUAAACAUCAAUUUUGUCAUAGGCUGAAACGGAGAAAGGAAAUAGAUUUUACUCAAAAACAGUGACAUAAGGAGCAUACACCAUUAAUCUUCCACACAUAUAAAGGUCACUCCUAGGAUAAUCGAGAGGAAACACCCUUACAGUUUUGUUUACAAAAAUCUACUGGUGAAUUCAAGGACUUAGGAAAAAUUGAAGGAAAAUCUUCCUCCAAGCAUACGAUUUAAAUACCAGCUCCUCUUCCCUGGGGCACACCUCAGGGGCCUACCCUCCCACCCCUGACCCUGCAGGGUCUUUCCUGUAGGCCUUUCCAAACCCACUCCACAGCAGGCUCAUUUCUGCUCUGGACUUACUCAGUUUCCCAACCUAGACUAACCUCUCCACUGUGUGUGUUCAGACCUCCUCAACCCUAAAGGGGCUUAGGUCAAAGCCUUCAAAAUCGAAAGGGAAAAAUUCCCCUUAUCCCCUACAAGGAGGUUGGAGAUCUUCCAGAAUGCAGGCUGCAGCCUGCUUCUUCAUUUGUUAGGAGCAGGGAAGGAAAUGCAGAAGCUGAAAAAUGAGGGCCAAGAAAGCCAGGCAGUAGGAUGAAGACACAUGGGACAUCAGGGCAGGAACAAAGUAGUACAAAGGAGAAGAAUGACCUACAAAAUGCUACCCUUGGGUCAUUUCCAAGCAGUCCAAGGCCUAAAAAAGCAUUUCCAUCUUUAGAAAAGUGGAGUGAAGCUAAGUUUUGGUUGCCUUCGCUCACAUCCUGUUCAGGACCUGUCCUGAACCCAUCACUGUAAGGCCCUUCUCUCUCUUUCCAGCUUCUCAAACUAAAAGCUCAAGAAAUACACAGGUUUUGGUAGAAUGGAUAGGGUAAAAGAUAAAGAUGUCAAAACCUGCCUAAAAGAACACUGCCUAUAACUAAACAACCUAUAGGUCUCCCUUUGAAAUUGUCAGACCUUGCUAAAGGAAGUGGGGUGGAGGAAUAAGGGCAAUAAGAGAUCUGGAACCCAUUUAAUCAUACCUUUCCUCUCUGAACACAAUCAAGGAAAGAGCAAAUUAAACAAAAAGUCUGCUUUGCCAGUUUUGUUUUCUGUUCAUAAGCUAAAACUGCUUCAGAGUGAAAGGGAAGAAAAGAAGGGAUGGGAGGGAGAGGGGAAGGGGGAGGGAGAGAAAGAAAGAGACACAGAGACAGAGGCAUAAGAAGUCUCACAUUCCAGAAAUAUCUCUUCCUCAAUGCCCCAACUCUGGCAACUUUGUCAUGUUCAGAGUGGGAGCAGGCGGGGAAAAGAGGAAAUGCCUAAAGAAGUUGCUCAGAUUAAGGAUGGUUUGUUGGCUAGCAAUCAGAAAGACUAAGCUGGAAGGGACUGCGUUCCAGCCUUGCUUUGGGCACUGUCACAUAUGACUGCCCAUCCUGGUGGUAGGGGGUGUUCCUGUGAGCUCCCUGGGAGCUAUGUCUACAGAUAGUUCCUGAAGGCAGACAAUGGUGGCCUAAGCAAAGUUCAACCAGAAGGUGAGAGCAAGUAGGGCUGGGCUAUAGCACAGGCUUCAUACUUACCAGUAGCUGGUCAUGAUGUAGAGUAACCAAAGGUACAGGAACACCAAUGUGAUAUCAUAGAACACUUUUCAUCUAUUACCUCAUUCAUGCCUAGCAGUCACCCACCAGCCACCAGCUUGUUCUACCAGAUAACCAGUAGGGUGGAUGGCACAAGCCCAGGAAGGCAGCUGGGAUCCAGUUGGUGGUAGUCUGGAAUGUCCAAUUUGGGUUGACGGCUGGGUUAAGAUAUCAGUUUUGUCUUGCAGUGGUAAUACCUAAAGAGCUUACCAUAAGUACAUGGGUAUCAGGUACACAGCCAGCAUAAAGUAUGAAGCCCAGUAGUUAUUUGUGAAGAUGUAUCAAGAUUCUUUGUGGUACAGAACCACCUAAACUGGGAGAAGACCACGGUCACAGACAGGGUCCAAGCCAUGCAAAAGAAAGGCAGUAUGGUACAGUACAUCUAUAGUAUCAUGUUUGGCAUAGAAGCCGUAGAAGGCCAUGCACUUGAAACAUGUUAACACAAUGCAGAAAAGCAUGAAGGUCCAGAGGAAGAAUGGCAUGGGCAGGUAAGCCAAUAAUCUUGCAACUGAUUACUGAAGAUUUAGAAGAACCAAAGGAAAAGAUAAUCCGCAGUAUGAAGAGAAAGCAGACAGAAGACUGCAUGCUGUUGGCCAAGCAUAGGUCCAAGAGGAGGUGGUAAGGAAACUUGUGCAGAAGCUUCUCACAGGACAGAGAUUAACCAGACUGGAACCUGAAGGAUCUGGCGCUCUCCACUGGCUGCCUUGGUGGGCCUCGAAUUCCUCUACGGGGCCCUUCACCCAUCAGGUAGUAUUGUAGGGGAUUGGGCCACAGUUCUCCUUUGAUAAUCUCUGCAAUUCUGUCGAAUUCUAGAAGGCUGUGGUCUGAAAACCAGUUGAAGAAACUAGGGAUAGUGUUCCCUUCCCGGUUUCUGUGGAUAUGAGCCUGGGGAUCUUGGCCUCGGUGCCAGCGGAUUGGAGUGGAAAGAGACACCACUCGCCCGGAGGAUCUGCGCUCAUAUUCCUUGACGAGCCCCUCAUUUCGGAAGUAGGGGUUGCCCUGAAAGAUGAACUUGAAUUUGCAGCCUGCUCUGGGGUGUUUAAGCUCCUCCACCUCCAAAUUGAUCAUGUACCUCAGCAUGUCUUCAUCUUGGCCACUGAUCAUAGGUGACAGCUGGGGGUGGUUUCGAAAGGCAGUGACCCAGAAACCUGGGAUAUUUUGGAUAAUGAAACUUCUGCGCUGCAUGUGGAGUCUUCGCAUGCGGCCAAACUUGCGCUCAAGCUGAAGGAAGGCCCUGUCAGCCUGGGCAUUUACGUUUGACAACUCUUGAUCGAUGGCCUCCAGCGAGUCCAUGCAGUUAUUGAUCUUCGGGGCCCUGGGCCGUGUCUCCUCUUUCACCCCUCCUGCCACCUUUUUUUCCUUCUGCACUACCUUCUUUUCCUCCAUCACCGCCCCUGCUUCUCCCUCCUUUUCCACCGCUGCUGACAUGGCGCACUUUUUAGUCGUCACUUCCUUGGCCUUCUUCCUGGCUAUCAUCUGAGACCCCAACCCCCCUGCGCCACAGGCUUCUAGAGCCUUCUGCCCAGCAGGGCCACGGGGCUCUCCAAGCUGACAGCCAUUUUUCUGGCUGUUAUCAGCAGCCUUGGAGGCAGAGGCUGCUUCCAGACCUUUCGCAGAAGGUGGAGCAUCCUCCUGCCCGGCUUUGGUCGCCACACAGCCGCGACUCCCGGCAACUGGGACGCGGAGCGCGGGGCCGCAGUCAACAGGAUCCCGGGAUGCACCUCCCUCCGCAGCGGUCUCCAGGCUGCCCCCACCUGUGUUCGCCAUCACCUGUGUCGCCUCGGUUUCUUCAUGGAGCACUUGGCACUGGUCUAGGUCCGGAUCUCCUGAGGCAUGGUCGGGAGCAGCCAGGUCGCCGGUUUGGGCGAGAGGGAGCUUGUUGCCCCCAUCCAGGCCGCUCAUUUUGGUAGAAGUCAGACUGGCGGUAGAGGGAGAGUUCCUUGUCUCCGCAGCGGCCGCACUCUGCCC